RNAcentral lists this ribosomal RNA (485 nucleotides) under uncultured bacterium. RNAcentral's name for it is "bacterial SSU rRNA". It matches the Rfam family "Bacterial small subunit ribosomal RNA", at positions 501 to 986 of the family's 1533-position model. The record is from RNAcentral.
CUACGUGCCAGCAGCCGCGGUAAUACGUAGGGUGCGAGCGUUAAUCGGAAUUACUGGGCGUAAAGCGUGCGCAGGCGGUUUGCUAAGACCGAUGUGAAAUCCCCGGGCUCAACCUGGGAACUGCAUUGGUGACUGGCAGGCUAGAGUAUGGCAGAGGGGGGUAGAAUUCCACGUGUAGCAGUGAAAUGCGUAGAGAUGUGGAGGAAUACCGAUGGCGAAGGCAGCCCCCUGGGCCAAUACUGACGCUCAUGCACGAAAGCGUGGGGAGCAAACAGGAUUAGAUACCCUGGUAGUCCACGCCCUAAACGAUGUCAACUAGUUGUUGGGGAUUCAUUUCCUUAGUAACGUAGCUAACGCGUGAAGUUGACCGCCUGGGGAGUACGGUCGCAAGAUUAAAACUCAAAGGAAUUGACGGGGACCCGCACAAGCGGUGGAUGAUGUGGAUUAAUUCGAUGCAACGCGAAAAACCUUACCUACCCUUGACA